RNAcentral lists this unclassified non-coding RNA (250 nucleotides) under plant metagenome. RNAcentral's name for it is "partial contains small subunit ribosomal RNA, internal transcribed spacer 1, and 5.8S ribosomal RNA". The record is from RNAcentral.
GUAGGUGAACCUGCGGAAGGAUCAUUAACACUCUUAUGAAAUUAACACCUUCAUAUAAACUUAUUCGUCCCGGUCACUGUUGUUUCCCCCGCCUUUACCUAGCGCGAACAUACGGCAGUCAUGGAGGAAGGUCUCUUGCAAACUCCACAAGGUGCGCAUUGGGCCUUCGGCUGUACGACGUCAGACUUCUAGGAUUGUGUGGGGCAAAACGUGCUACCCGUCACACCCAUUGGCGAAGCACAUUAAUAAC